This 77-nucleotide transfer RNA is filed under the name Pygmaiobacter sp. RNAcentral describes it as "tRNA-His". It matches the Rfam family "tRNA". From Rfam's summary of the family: Transfer RNA (tRNA) molecules are approximately 80 nucleotides in length. Their secondary structure includes four short double-helical elements and three loops (D, anti-codon, and T loops). RNAcentral also lists the same sequence under 3 other names. Lineage: Bacteria; Bacillati; Bacillota; Clostridia; Eubacteriales; Oscillospiraceae. The record is from RNAcentral.
GUGGGUGUAGUUCAGUUGGUUAGAGCACCAGAUUGUGGAUCUGGGUGUCGUGGGUUCGAGUCCCAUCUCCCACCCCA